Molecule: transfer RNA, 79 nt
Filed under: Alosa alosa (allis shad)
Lineage: Eukaryota; Metazoa; Chordata; Actinopteri; Clupeiformes; Clupeidae
Description: tRNA-OTHER
Source: RNAcentral
GCAGCCAUGGCCUACUGGUUAGGGCUUCGGACUUGUAACCGGAGGGUUGCCGGUUCGGACUUGUAACCGGAGGGGUGCU